This 297-nucleotide small nuclear RNA is filed under the name Neotoma lepida (desert woodrat). Its description in RNAcentral is "7SK RNA". It matches the Rfam family "7SK RNA". From Rfam's summary of the family: 7SK was discovered as an abundant small nuclear RNA in the mid-70s but a possible function has only recently been suggested. Two independent studies have found that 7SK RNA binds the CDK9/cyclin T complex (known as elongation factor P-TEFb). Lineage: Eukaryota; Metazoa; Chordata; Mammalia; Rodentia; Cricetidae. The record is from Rfam by way of RNAcentral.
GGAAAUGAGCAUGACACGCAAAAUUUGUCACCCAAUGUAUUGCCAGGUUUUCUGAAACAGAUCAUACUGGAUAGGUUUGUGUCCCCUUUGUCUUUCACUGCUCCAUAUAUAUUUGUUCCAAAGCUGUGUGCUGGGUUUAAGAGGAUGACCUUCCCUAACACAGGAGAACUGCUCUUUGACCAUGGGUGUAAGAGUAGCAGCAUGNUCACCUCUGAAAACUCCAAACAAGCUCCAAUGUCAUAACCAAAGAAAUCAUGAUGAAAGCAUCUACUUCCAAUGGAACUGGCUAUGUACAUU